RNAcentral lists this ribosomal RNA (228 nucleotides) under uncultured bacterium. RNAcentral describes it as "partial 16S ribosomal RNA". It matches the Rfam family "Bacterial small subunit ribosomal RNA", at positions 568 to 796 of the family's 1533-position model. The record is from RNAcentral.
UCCGUAGGUGGAUAAUUAAGUCAGAGGUGAAAUCCUGCAGCUCAACUGUAGAAUUGCCUUUGAUACUGGUUAUCUUGAGUCAUUAUGAAGUGGUUAGAAUGUGUAGUGUAGCGGUGAAAUGCAUAGAUAUUACACAGAAUACCGAUUGCGAAGGCAGAUCACUAAUAAUGUACUGACACUGAGGGACGAAAGCGUGGGGAGCGAACAGGAUUAGAUACCUGGUAGUCC